RNAcentral lists this non-coding RNA (29 nucleotides) under Mus musculus (house mouse). The record is from RNAcentral. Lineage: Eukaryota; Metazoa; Chordata; Mammalia; Rodentia; Muridae.
UGUCACUACAGCUGUCCGGUAAACCCUGA